RNAcentral lists this transfer RNA (75 nucleotides) under Cordylochernes scorpioides. RNAcentral describes it as "tRNA-Thr". Lineage: Eukaryota; Metazoa; Arthropoda; Arachnida; Pseudoscorpiones; Chernetidae. The record is from RNAcentral.
UGUCAAGGGAUGGGAAUCGAACCCACGACCUUCCGCUUACAGGGCAGAUGCCAUGACCACUAGGCUACCCUGGAC